UAGGCUGCAACUCGCCUACACGAAGCUGGAAUCGCUAGUAAUCGCGGAUCAGCAUGUCGCGGUGAAUACGUUCCCGGGCCUUGUACACACCGCCCGUCACACCAUGAGAGUUGGCAAUACCCAACGUACGUGAUCUAACCCGCAAGGGAGGAAGCGUCCUAAGGUAGGGUCAGCGAUUGGGGUGAAGUCGUAACAAGGUAAC
Molecule: ribosomal RNA, 202 nt
Filed under: uncultured bacterium
Lineage: Bacteria
Description: partial 16S ribosomal RNA
Rfam family: Bacterial small subunit ribosomal RNA
Source: RNAcentral